AUUGGCAAACCUAGGGAAAUCUAGAGACGCAAAGCUAAAGGGGCUAAGGUUAUAUGAUAACUAUGCUAGCCAGUUGCCGAA
Molecule: non-coding RNA, 81 nt
Filed under: Clostridium perfringens
Lineage: Bacteria; Bacillati; Bacillota; Clostridia; Eubacteriales; Clostridiaceae
Also listed under: 1 other name
Description: c-di-GMP sequence
Rfam family: c-di-GMP-I riboswitch aptamer
About the family: GEMM was predicted in a large-scale screen for bacterial structured RNA regulatory elements.
Source: RNAcentral